AAGGCUUUAAGUUAAAUAAAACUAAUAGCCUUCAAAGCUAUAAAUAAAAUAAAAUUUUUAAGCCUUA
This 67-nucleotide transfer RNA is filed under the name Climacia areolaris. Its description in RNAcentral is "tRNA-Trp". The record is from RNAcentral. Lineage: Eukaryota; Metazoa; Arthropoda; Insecta; Neuroptera; Sisyridae.